AUGUACCACUCGUACACUCCGGUUCUGAGCGCGCUGUCCGCACCCACCUGACGACCGCUCGCUACGUUUCAUUCGCC
This 77-nucleotide small RNA is filed under the name Xanthomonas arboricola. RNAcentral describes it as "sRNA sX9". It matches the Rfam family "Xanthomonas sRNA sX9". RNAcentral also lists the same sequence under 1 other name. The record is from RNAcentral. Lineage: Bacteria; Pseudomonadati; Pseudomonadota; Gammaproteobacteria; Lysobacterales; Lysobacteraceae.